UACGAAGGGGGCUAGCGUUGUUCGGAAUCACUGGGCGUAAAGCGCACGUAGGCGGCUUGUUAAGUCAGGGGUGAAAUCCUGGAGCUCAACUCCAGAACUGCCUUUGACACUGGUGAUCUUGAGUUCGGGAGAGGUGAGUGGAACUGCGAGUGUAGAGGUGAAAUUCGUAGAUAUUCGCAAGAACACCAGUGGCGAAGGCGGCUCACUGGCCCGAUACUGACGCUGAGGCACGAAAGCGUGGGGAGCAAACAGG
Molecule: ribosomal RNA, 253 nt
Filed under: uncultured bacterium
Lineage: Bacteria
Description: partial 16S ribosomal RNA
Rfam family: Bacterial small subunit ribosomal RNA
Source: RNAcentral